Long non-coding RNA from Bos taurus (domestic cattle), 2090 nucleotides. NCBI's taxonomy places the organism in Eukaryota, Metazoa, Chordata, Mammalia, Artiodactyla, Bovidae. The record is from Ensembl.
GGCGGGAAGAGGGAAGAUUUGUUGACCAUCAGGUGUCCUGAAUUGUCUUAAGCAGAGGAGGCCUGUGAGAAAAAGAAGCAAGAGACAAGGAAGUGGGAGCCAGGGCCCCGUCCAAGGGGGCUGGACCCUAAUUCAAAGACAGUGGGACCAUGGCUUCUGUGUCCAGUGCGGGGGUGUAGGGGCUGUGCUUCCAAAGGACACAGCCCAGACUGAAGGGGAUGGUCAGAGACGGGUCAUAGAAUCCAUCCUCUCACAACGCAGCAGAUGCCUGGCCCACUGCCAAGGUCGUGGGAAAGGGAGCGACCAGAGAUGGGGUGGGGGGCGCAGAGAGCUCCAGCAGAGAGGCGAACGAGAGCAGGGGCAGCGAGGGCUGUGGGAGAUGGAAAUCCACCUUCUCCAUGAGGGGGUGGGAUGGUGCUUAUACAGGACACCACCCGUAAAACAAAAAAGAGAAAAAGAAAAGGUGGGAUGAUAAAGUCCUUCUGGUCAUUUUACAAAAAAGUCCUGCAGGAGAGGAAAACCCUGUAGGAAAGGAGACUGGGGGUUGGGGGCUGGGGUUUGAGGUGGGCUGCAGGGCAGGAGGAGAGGAGGGGUUGGAGGUCGAGGGGAGGGGCGUGGGUGAGGGGGAGCAGGCGGGCCUCCGAGGAAAGCCUCCAGAGUCUGCCCCUUGGCCUGGGGGGACUGGUGACUAAAGCGGUCUCAAUGAGGGGCAGUACGUGGUGAGGAACAAAGUCCGGGGGGAUGUUAGGAGCUCAACUGCACUGAAUCAGAUCCUCUUGAAUGUAGCACAGUCGGCGGCAUCAGAUGAGAUAGUGAAAAGAGAAUUCCAUUCAGGUGGUUCACCUGCAGAGACUUGAAAGAGGGUGUGGGCAGAACUAAAGAGACUAACCCCCAGAGACCAGCAACAGCCGAAGCCACCCACCCCGGGCCUGAGCAGAGGGCAGUGAAGGUGGGACUGCGGCCCCAGAGAGGGCGGUCACACGGUCAUCAAUGUAGGGCCAGCACGGGGAUGGACAGAGAAGAAACACCCCAACUUCUCCCCCACUGCGGGCUCCUGGGUAGUGCUCACUGACUGAUCACAACAGAGAGUGGGGCGCGAGGCAGCCCAGGUGAUGUGAUUGUUCGGGACCACAGCCCUCCCAGGUGCCAAGCAAGGCAGGGAAGGGAUUUGAGGGCAGAGCAAAUGGAGAUGAACUGACACACACAGCUUGCAAGCAGCUUUCCCCCGAAUCCAUCAGAACACGAUGAUGUCGCUGGUGUGUGAUCCACACUGCUCUUCUCUCUGUGCGGGGGCAAUCAAGAGUAGAAGGAAGAGUUUCUCAGGACAUUGAAGUCAUUCUGCUUGUCAUCACCAAAAAUGUGCCAGUGCUGCUGUUUGCAUGAUGUCAUUCAAACAUGAUCUCAUUUGGAUCUCACACGACCCUGGGAGAGUUGGCAGAAUUAAUAAGAUUUAAAACCUACUUAGAGAGGAACCCAACAUACAUGGAACAGCCUUCAGGAGAGGACUAAGUUUCCAAAUCAGAAUAUUAUGAAAUAGUACUAACAGAAUGCUUUUAAUUUUUAAAAUCUGUAUAUUUUUAGUUAUGAUUAGGGAAAAAUGUCUGGAGUGUUGUAAUACUGGUAAGCUUUAUUUUCUUCUCUGUAAUUUUCUAUAUUUCCAAGUUUUCUACAGUGAAUAGAAAAUACUGUAGAAAUCAAGAGAAGGCCUCUCAUUUUGUUGAGUUCAAAUUAGAUAUUUUACAGAAGAACAGAACUUGGAAAUCUCGUCUUCUUAAAAAGUUGUGAUUCUAGACCUAUAUCAUCUGAUAUUGGCUGUUGAAUACCUGAAAUUCGCUUAGUCCAAGUUUCCAUAUGACGUGAAUAUAAAUUACACUUCAUAUUUUGAAGACAGUACAAACAACCAAAAAUGAUGUCUCAAUAAUUUUUAUAUUGAUUACAUGUUGAAAUGAUAGUAUUGAAUAUUUUGGAUAUAUUGAGUUUAGCAAAAUACGGUAUUGGGUCAAAUAAAAUUAAUUUCACUGGUUUCUUUUACUUUUUAAAAUACGAUCACUUUAAACAUUUUAAAACGAGUGGCUUGCAUUUGCUGCCCA